RNAcentral lists this ribosomal RNA (225 nucleotides) under uncultured Pseudomonas sp. RNAcentral's name for it is "partial 16S ribosomal RNA". It matches the Rfam family "Bacterial small subunit ribosomal RNA", at positions 568 to 792 of the family's 1533-position model. The record is from RNAcentral. Lineage: Bacteria; Pseudomonadati; Pseudomonadota; Gammaproteobacteria; Pseudomonadales; Pseudomonadaceae.
CGCGUAGGUGGCUUGAUAAGUUGGAUGUGAAAUCCCCGGGCUCAACCUGGGAACUGCAUCCAAAACUGUCUGGCUAGAGUGCGGUAGAGGGUAGUGGAAUUUCCAGUGUAGCGGUGAAAUGCGUAGAUAUUGGAAGGAACACCAGUGGCGAAGGCGACUACCUGGACUGACACUGACACUGAGGUGCGAAAGCGUGGGGAGCAAACAGGAUUAGAUACCCCCGUA